Molecule: ribosomal RNA, 508 nt
Filed under: uncultured bacterium
Lineage: Bacteria
Description: partial 16S ribosomal RNA
Rfam family: Bacterial small subunit ribosomal RNA
Source: RNAcentral
GAUGAACGCUGGCGGCGUGCCUAAUACAUGCAAGUCGAACGCUUCUUUCCUCCCGUUUCCUUGCUCUCGUUUGGAACGAGGGGUUGCGUACGGGUUAGUAAACCUUGGGUAACCUAUCCGUUAGAUGCGGAUAACACUUGGAAACAGCGGCUAAUACCUCAAAACACUUUAUUCCGCAUUGAAUGAGGGUUAAGGUCGCUUUCGGAGGUCGCUGCUGGAUGCAUCCGCGAUGCAUUAGCUAGUUGGUAAGGUAACGGCUUACCAAGGCAACGAUGCGUAGCCGACCUGAGAGGGUGAUCGGCCACACUGGAACUGAGACACGGUCCAGACUCCUACGGGAGGCAGCAGUAGGGAAUCUUCGGCAAUGGGCGAAAGCCUGACGGAGCAACGCCGCGUGAGUGAAGAAGGUCUUCGGAUCGUAAAACUCUGUUAUUAGGGAAGAACAAGGGUGUAAGUAACUAAACGCGUCUUGACGGUACCUAAUCAGAAAGCCACGGCUAACUACGUG